GCCUGGUCUAUAAAGUGAGUUUCAGGACAGC
Molecule: non-coding RNA, 31 nt
Filed under: Mus musculus (house mouse)
Lineage: Eukaryota; Metazoa; Chordata; Mammalia; Rodentia; Muridae
Source: RNAcentral